CUGGAAACCCUUUUCUGCCUUCUUCAUCUACUAUUAUUGGCAGUCUUCUCUACUUCCAGACCUAUAAGGAAAGGUUCAUAUGAUAUUGUGCUCCUAGUAUGAAUUUUUCCCUGUAUACACUAAAGAGCACUGCACUAGAGCACUAAAUUAGCCCAAAAAAUAAAAAAAAAAUAAAAAUAAAGAUAAACAAAAAUAAAGUCUAAACUAGUUAAGAAUCAUAUAAAAGUAUAUUGUAAACCACGAAUCCCGG
This 250-nucleotide long non-coding RNA is filed under the name Vigna radiata. RNAcentral's name for it is "long non-coding RNA (VRAD_LNC018219)". The record is from RNAcentral. Lineage: Eukaryota; Viridiplantae; Streptophyta; Magnoliopsida; Fabales; Fabaceae.